This 381-nucleotide long non-coding RNA is filed under the name Musa acuminata (dwarf banana). RNAcentral's name for it is "long non-coding RNA (MACU_LNC001125)". The record is from RNAcentral. Lineage: Eukaryota; Viridiplantae; Streptophyta; Magnoliopsida; Zingiberales; Musaceae.
GCUGAUCACCUGCGACGAGCUCAAGGGGAUAAUGGCGUCGCUCGGGUACAACCCCACCACGGAGGAGGUGAGGGAGAUGAUGAGGCGGGGCGACGCGGACAAGGACGGCCUGCUCAGCAUGGAGGAGUUCCUGGAGAUGAACGCCGCCGAACUGGACCCGGGCGACCUUGCUGGCUUGCUCCAGACCGCCGCCGCGUUGCUGGGUCCUGCGGCGGGGGACGACGGGGAUGUGACGGCGGAGAUUCUGUUCCAGGUGCUGAGCUGCGAGGAUGGUGCGAGCCUGGAGGACUGCACGGAAAUCAUAGCUAGCUUGGACGCGGACGGUGACGGAGCGGUCAGCUUUGAGGACUUCAAGAUCAUAGCUCAAGCUCUCCGCUAAGA